Molecule: long non-coding RNA, 991 nt
Organism: Gossypium arboreum
Lineage: Eukaryota; Viridiplantae; Streptophyta; Magnoliopsida; Malvales; Malvaceae
Exons: 2
Source: RefSeq, a predicted model, not a curated record
UGGGUCCGACAAGUUGCAUUUGCUCCAUUUUCUACAUCCAAAGUGAUCUCUCGACCAGCGCGCGAUUGAAUGUUCGAUAAGAGUAAAGGGCGGGUGGUGCUUUCGUAAGCACACCACCAUGCUCUACUCCUUCCAUUUAACCACUUGCCAUUUCUCUUUUCUUCUCCUUACAGUCUCUUGUCCCAAACCACCCAGAAAAAGAAAAGGCCUUUCCACUUCGUAGCUUUCUAACUGCAUCUAUCUGAAAUGGAAGGGUUUCGGAUUCGCCGCCAAGUUUUGCCUGCGUUGCUUUAACAUCGAGGGUCGAGACCCGAGAGCUAGAUUUGGAAGGGAGCGUAAGGUUAAUAGGCGUAUGAUGCGGUCACUGAAAGCUUUUCAAGUUGCAGCUUCAGAGAUUGAGGAGCUGUAUUGGAGGACUAGGGCAGUGAUCCAGCUGUUGUCUGAAGCCAGUAAACUUGCUGAUGGGUGGAUUUAUGAGUUUCUUAUUAUGAUUGAAAACGACCCUUUCAUGAGGAACGCUUUUGAAAUGAUCAAUGCUCAGAAUCUGGAUGUGACUUCUGAGGAACACAUUGAUCAGAAUCAGGAUGACCUGUAUGAUUUAUUCUAUUCGAUGAGUUGAUAGUUGUUUCUAUCAACAACACCAUCUUCAAAAUUUAAACUCACGUUUUGUUCUUAAAAGUACAAUAUGUACUACCUUUGUAAAACACUGUUAGGCUAAGGAGGGCAUUGGUAGAGUCAAUAAUAUGCUUAUGUUUAUGGUAUAAAGCUUCUGUUAGUGUCCUGGUUAUGUGUAUGGUAGUUGUAAUGCCAUGGUGUAUUCCGAUUGCAUCACCGCCUUACUGUUUCCCCCUAGUUUUCCAUCUCCUACAUGUUUAUUGUUACUGCUGGUGUACUUUGAUAUUUCAGCAGUGAAGUCUAAUGUUUUAAAAAAAUGUAUGGAUGAUUUUAUCUGUUUCUAAGACUCGGGUAUGGAACAUUUUAUAUUUUCUCA